RNAcentral lists this transfer RNA (63 nucleotides) under Acanthosepion aculeatum. Its description in RNAcentral is "tRNA-Phe". The record is from RNAcentral. Lineage: Eukaryota; Metazoa; Mollusca; Cephalopoda; Sepiida; Sepiidae.
AUUCAAAUAGCUUAAAUAGAGUAUAAUAUUGAAGAUAUUAGGGUGGUUUAUAACCUUUGGAUA